AACUCAGAAAUGACAUAGGUCCCCAUUUAUGUGUGAAGGUGGCAAAAGCCACUGGAAAGGGACGAGAAUCCAUAGGUGUACUAACUGAAGGCCACCUGGUCAGAUCUGUCAUUCUCUACCCCCAAAGGCUAUGACAUUGAGAAAGGAGCAACUGAGUCUUAUUCACUGAGUCCCCAGUGCCCAUCAAGGGACAUGGUACAUGGCAGAUGCCCAACAACUAUUUCUUGGAUGGACGGGGAAAUGUUUCCUAAUCACAACAGAAGAGAAGCAAGCAGCCAUUGUACCACUAACACAAAGCAAGCAACUCUGCUUCGACUUCUCCCACUUUUGGGAAAAGUCCACUUUUCAAGAAGGAGACUGGAAACAGGAAGUGGCCCAGGCUUGCCCUCGUCACCGCCAGUGACACCAACCAGGCGCUCAGUGCAGCAUCCAGCUUCCAGCCUCAGGAUGGCCCCGAGACAGAGGCUGGCUGCUCCGAUUUCAACCAGAGCCAUUUCUGAGGCUGGAAUGAUCAACUGGAAUAGUGAAAAAUGCAGUGCUGUUGGAAGCCAAGUUUUAAGGAGAAUUUUUGUUAUUGUUUGUUUCAACAGACAAACUUAUAUACAUGUAUCAUGUGGGCAAGGAGAUGGGAGGAAUGAAGCUAGGCAAAUUCAUUACCUUUUAAAAAGAAAUCUAGUUCUUCUUGAGGGACUCUCCCUUCUGCUUGUUCUAUCUUGAUGGUCAUAUUAAAAGAAAAGAGUAGCUUGUGCCUCUCAAACAGCCCUGGAGGGAAACAUCAGAUGAGUAUUGAUUUCUUAAAAUUCAUUUUUAAAAAACUGAGUUUCUUAUGCACACUGUGCUUAAACGUAAGAUAAAUGAAACACUCGAACUGUAUGGCUGCAUUUACCCCUCUUUGCACCUAAUGUCCAUGAAUAUCUAAGUUCAAGAGAGAUGAGCUCAGUUCCUAGGUCAUGCCCCAGUCUGUAGUGACAUGCUCCUGUAUGUAACGGAAAUGGCCAUGUCUACAGGAGGUAAAAUCACACCAACCUGGGAAGAGGAAAAGCCAGUGAGGGGCAGUACAGCAGGGGCAGCCCUCUCCACUGAAGGCAGGUUGUUUGCCUGACUCCAUGGCAUUUGUGUCCAUUAGAGUCUAGAAGAGGUGUUGGCAAACUUUCUACAAAGGGCCAGAUAGUAAAUAUUUUUGGCUUUGGAAGCUAGAUGGUCUCUGUCAUAACCACUCAACUCCGCCAUUGUAGUGCAAAAGCAACCAUAGACAAUAUGUAUACAAAUGGAUAUGGCCCUGUUCCAAUAAAACUUUAUUUACAAAAGCAGGCAGUGGGCCAGAUUUGGAUGCUGGCUAGGGGGUUGCCAACCUCUAUUGCAGAGGACACACACUCCAUCAACAGACUCUUUAUUAAUGGAUGCAAAAUACCAGCGUUCUUCUUUUUUGCUUUUUAACAGAAGACAUGUGUUCCUGGAAAAAAAAAUUGUUUAAGUCAAAAUUUGUAAUUUGAAUUCUACUUUAUAUGUGUUAGGAGGGUUGGCUACUUAAGUGAGCCCUAUAGAAACAAUCUCUUUUCUGCCCAACUGUUAAGGGCUAAAUUAUAUUUCUCCAAACUUCCUAUGUUGAAGCCCCAACUUCCAGUACCUGAGAAUAUGACAGUAUUUGGAGACAGGGUCUUUAAAUAGGUGAUUAAGUUCAAAUGAGGCCAUUAAGGUGGGCCCAGUCCAACCUCACUGGUGUCCUUAUAAGAGGAGGAAAUUUGGACACACAGAGACACCAGGGAUUCACACGCAGAGAAGAAAGACCUUGUGUGGACAGAGCAGGAAGACAGCCUCCUACAAGCCAAGGGGAGCAUCCUAAGGAGAAACGAAACCUACCAAAACCUUGAUUUUGGACUUCUGACCUCCAAAACUAUGAGAAAAUAAAUUUCUGUUGCUUAAGCCA
Long non-coding RNA from Homo sapiens (human), 1927 nucleotides. RefSeq lists it as uncharacterized. The transcript has 2 exons. The record is from RefSeq and is a predicted model, not a curated record. NCBI's taxonomy places the organism in Eukaryota, Metazoa, Chordata, Mammalia, Primates, Hominidae.